This 497-nucleotide ribosomal RNA is filed under the name uncultured bacterium. RNAcentral's name for it is "partial 16S ribosomal RNA". It matches the Rfam family "Bacterial small subunit ribosomal RNA", at positions 28 to 507 of the family's 1533-position model. The record is from RNAcentral.
GAUGAACGCUGGCGGCGUGCCUAAUACAUGCAAGUCGAGCGAACAGACGCGGAGCGUGCUCCUCUGACGUUAACGGCGGAAGGGAGAGUAACACGUGGUUAACCUACCUAUGAGACUGGGAUCACUUAGGGAAACCGGAGCUAAUACUGGAUAAUAUAUGGAACCGCAUGGUUCGAUAGUGAAUGACGGGUUUGCUGUCAAUUAUAGGUGUAUCCGCGCCGCAGUAGCUAGUUGGUAAGGUAACGGCUUACCAAGGCAACGAUGCGUAGCCGACCUGAGAGGGUGAUCGGCCACACUGGAGCGGAGGGACGGUUCAGACUCCUACGGGGGGCAGCAGUCGGGCAUCUUCCGCAAUGGGCGAAUGCCUGACGGAGCAACGCCGCGUGAGUGAUGAAGGUCUUCGGAUCGUAAAACGCUGUUAUUAGGGAAGACCAAAUGUGUAAGUAACUAUGCACUUCUUGACGGUACCUAAUCAGAAAGCCACGGCUAACUACGUG